RNAcentral lists this ribosomal RNA (439 nucleotides) under uncultured bacterium. RNAcentral describes it as "partial 16S ribosomal RNA". It matches the Rfam family "Bacterial small subunit ribosomal RNA", at positions 338 to 795 of the family's 1533-position model. The record is from RNAcentral.
CCUACGGUAGGCAGCAGUGGGGGAUAUUGCACAAUGGAGGAAACUCUGAUGCAGCGACGCCGCGUGAGGGAAGGCGGUCUUCGGAUUGUAAACCUCUGUCUUUGGGGAAGACAAUGACGGUACCCAAAGAGGAAGAUCCGGCUAACUACGUGCCAGCAGCCGCGGUACUACGUAGGGAGCGAGCGUUUGCCGGAAUUACUGGGUGUAAAGGGAGCGUAGGCGGGCGAGAAAGUUUAAUGUUAAAUCUACCUGCUUAACUGGUAGCUGCGUUCAAAACUGCUUGUCUUGAGGGAAGUAGAGGCAGGCGGAAUGCCUAGUGUAGCGGUGAAAGUCGUAGAUAUCACGCAGAACUCAGAUUGCGAAGGCAGCAUACCGGCGCCCAACUGACGCUGAAGCACGAAAGCGGGGGUAUCGAACAGGAUUAGAUACCCUUGUAGUC